CCGACUUUAGCUCAGUUGGAAGAGCAUCAGACUGUAAUUUGUUACCUGCCUUCCUUGGGCAAUUAUGUAAUCUGGGUGUCGUCUGUUCGAACCAGACAAGUCGGA
Molecule: non-coding RNA, 105 nt
Organism: Mycena maculata
Lineage: Eukaryota; Fungi; Basidiomycota; Agaricomycetes; Agaricales; Mycenaceae
Source: the annotation of a GenBank genome assembly